GGUACAGGACAUAAAUAUUGGUAUUUUAUUAUGCAUGGUUCGUAUUUAAAUUCAUGACAACUUUUUGUGGCGACUUGAGAUUGGCUGGUAAUCUGAGGGUCUCAAAAAGACCUUCACAUUCACCUUGAAGAAGUUUUAAAUCCACAUAUACAGGGUGUUAGUGACAUCGUAACGAAAACUUUUAGGGAUGAUUCAGGCCAUGAUUCUGAGUUGAUAUCGAGUGGAAUUUUCCGUCGCAAAAGUAUGGAACGGAAAAUAAUAUAAAAAAGGUCUAAAAUUUUCAUGACUUCUCCGACAGGAAAUUCCACUUGAUAUCGUCUCAGAAUCAUGGUCUGAAUCAUCCCCUUCAGUAUUCGUUACAGUGUCACAUACACCCAUACCUACUUGUAUGGCUACUGUAUGUACUUGUAUGGGGUGUAAGUGACAUCGUAACGAAUACUGAGAGGGAUGAUUCAGCUGAUUAUUCUGAGUUAAUAUCAAGUGGAAUUUUCCAUCGCAAAAGUAUAGAAUUGAAAAUAAUUUAAAAAAACUAAAAAAAUAACAUGAAUUUUGCGACGGAAAAUUCCACUUGAUAUUAACUCAGAAUCAUGGUCUGAAUCAUCCCUCUGAGUAUUCGUUAGGAUGUCACUUAACACCCUGUAUAUUGCGCACUAAUCUCAGCUGAGACUACCCUCAAGAUCAUGCUCAAGUCCAUGUUUUAUAUGAGAACUGUCAAAUUGACAUGAUCUUGAGAGCAGUCUCGAAUCUGAGAUUAGUUUAUUAAUACCACUCUUAAAGACAUUGCGUGCUUACUUUUACAGGCGCAAUAUAUAUGUGUAUUUAAAAACUUCUUCAAUUCGUGUUAGUACUACUUUUGAUUCCUGAUUCUUAUCCGAUCCGAGUCCGUCAAAUGAAGGAUUGACGGAUCCGAAGUGGCCAUAGUACUUGUGCUUGUGGUAGCUUGCGUACUAUACGACAUCCGUCACUCUGAACAGACAUGCGAGCGUGCACCCGCGCGUGGUCUAACGCACAGCCUCAGAGUUUCAAAUAGAAGGAACCCAUAUGGACAUUCUGGGAUAUGAGCACUCCGGGACUUGGACUUUUUUGGAAUGUGGGCGUUUUGAGCCCUCUGAAUAUUUUUGUGAUUUGGACAUGAAGAAAACGUAGUAUGUGUAUGUGAAGAGCUUACAUGGAACAGAUUAAAGAAAAGGUUAACGUCGUGUCUUAUAGGGAAUUCAAGGAAUUGGCCUUUGAUAGACUGGAAUGGAAAACGCUACACCGACAAGAGCGUGGCUCUUAAAUUGAUGAUGAUGAUGUGUAUGUAUGUAUGUACUGUAGUAGUAGUAUAUUAUGAAUAUUUUCUUUGAUUAUGAACCAAUUUAAUGGUCCACUCAACAAUAGAAACGCCAAGACGCCUCUAAAAUCUAAAGAGCGUUUCUGCAAUUGACUUAAUAUAUAGUUAUAGUAUGUACUAUAUUUUUUACUAGCAAUAAGGUUUUUUAUGGACCGCGCUCUAACGCAAGUCCAACUAUCAAAAAUUGCACGCACGACUGACCCCUACUUGGGAUAGUCACAGAGCGCCGUCGUCCAACCGAGGUGCAAUGGCUGGCGUCGCCCUGGGGCAACCGCCUUCCUGAUCACGGUACACCCUACGCAAGGUCUCACGCAUAGUAAAAAUAUUUGGCUCGCGUCGCGGGUUAUGCUGAGUGAGGACCUUUUAUGAAGGACAGCCCCCACUAUCAUUGAUGUUGAUUUCCACAUUUGUUAUUUUUUAUAUUCUUUUAUAUUCAUCUGUAUCGGGUUUUGUUAGUCUAUUUUAUAUUGUUACUGUGGCGAUCUGGAAUAAAAAAUGCAUCUUUC
Molecule: long non-coding RNA, 1839 nt
Organism: Pectinophora gossypiella (pink bollworm)
Lineage: Eukaryota; Metazoa; Arthropoda; Insecta; Lepidoptera; Gelechiidae
Exons: 2
Source: RefSeq, a predicted model, not a curated record